RNAcentral lists this ribosomal RNA (486 nucleotides) under uncultured bacterium. Its description in RNAcentral is "partial 16S ribosomal RNA". It matches the Rfam family "Bacterial small subunit ribosomal RNA", at positions 28 to 507 of the family's 1533-position model. The record is from RNAcentral.
GACGAACGCUGGCGGCGUGCUUAACACAUGCAAGUCGAACGCUGAAGGCCUGGCUUUUGUUGGGUUGGAUGAGUGGCGAACGGGUGAGUAACACGUGAGUAACCUGCCCUCUUCUUUGGGAUAACGCCCGGAAACGGGUGCUAAUACUGGAUAUUCACUGAUCUUCGCAUGGGGGUUGGUGGAAAGGUUUGUUCUGGUGGGGGAUGGGCUCGCGGCCUAUCAGCUUGUUGGUGGGGUGAUGGCCUACCAAGGCUUUGACGGGUGGCCGGCCUGAGAGGGUGACCGGUCACAUUGGGACUGAGAUACGGCCCAGACUCCUACGGGAGGCAGCAGUGGGGAAUAUUGCACAAUGGGCGAAAGCCUGAUGCAGCGACGCCGCGUGAGGGAUGGAGGCCUUCGGGUUGUAAACCUCUUUCGCUCAUGGUCAAGCCGCAACUGUGGGUUGUGGUGAGGGUAGUGGGUAAAGAAGCGCCGGCUAACUACGUG